ACAGAGGGGGCAAGCGUUGCUCGGAAUUACUGGGCGUAAAGGGCGCGUAGGCGGGAUGGUAAGUCGGUCGUGAAAUCCCUCGGCUCAACCGAGGAACGUCGAUCGAUACUACCGUUCUUGAGGAUUGCAGAGGAGACUGGAAUUCCCGGUGUAGCGGUGAAAUGUGUAGAGAUCGGGAGGAACACCGGUGGCGAAGGCGGGUCUCUGGGCAUUACCUGACGCUGAGGAGCGAAAGCAUGGGGAGCGAACAGGA
Molecule: ribosomal RNA, 253 nt
Filed under: uncultured prokaryote
Description: partial 16S ribosomal RNA
Rfam family: Bacterial small subunit ribosomal RNA
Source: RNAcentral